RNAcentral lists this ribosomal RNA (242 nucleotides) under uncultured bacterium. Its description in RNAcentral is "partial 16S ribosomal RNA". It matches the Rfam family "Bacterial small subunit ribosomal RNA", at positions 524 to 765 of the family's 1533-position model. The record is from RNAcentral.
UACGGUAGGGUGCAAGCGUUAAUCGGAAUACUGGGCGUAAAGCGUGCGCAGGCGGUGAUGUAAGACAGAUGUGAAAUCCCCGGGCUCAACCUGGGAACUGCAUUUGUGACUGCAUCGCUGGAGUACGGCAGAGGGGGAUGGAAUUCCGCGUGUAGCAGUGAAAUGCGUAGAUAUGCGGAGGAACACCGAUGGCGAAGGCAAUCCCCUGGGCCUGUACUGACGCUCAUGCACGAAAGCGUGGG